GAUAACAGCCUCGGGAGACCAGCCACGCGUGCCUUCUUGGAGGCCUGACCCUUAGGAGGGACCUCGGAAGAUUGGGCUCGCUUACUAGUGGAGCCCCCUAAUCACAAUGGCACCAGCAGCAGUGACCUGCUUAGAUCAUUUUGAAGAGGGAGCAACCUCAGCCCCUCCCUUGGAACCACCCUCCAUGGACUCCUCGAUGGUG
This 202-nucleotide long non-coding RNA is filed under the name Manihot esculenta (cassava). RNAcentral describes it as "long non-coding RNA (MESC_LNC007206)". The record is from RNAcentral. Lineage: Eukaryota; Viridiplantae; Streptophyta; Magnoliopsida; Malpighiales; Euphorbiaceae.